UCAACGACUACAUAUAUACCACGGUUACAUUUGUGAUUACCAGUCGGAUAUGAAACACGCGGUUUUAAGAUACAAUCCCCUCUAUAAAGAUAAGGAAGUGAAAAUAUAUCAUUUUUGAAUACGGAACAUAUACAAUCAAAGGUACGGUGUGAAAAAGUGAAGGAAGUAUCUUUCAGUAAGGACACAGAACUUGAACAAUGACCCUACGGCUUUAUUUGAGUACAAGUCAUUUAUAGAAGAGGCUUUGGAAAUUAUCUUGUGAUACAAUAAUACCGGUUGGUUAAAUGAACGUACAAUUUCCAAGAAAUGGAGGAAAGGAAUAAUUCGUUGACAAAUCAAACGAAAUAUGGAAGAAACAGGCAAACGUCGAGUCGAGGACCUCCCGAUAUCAAUUCAGGAAGUUAAUGAUAUCGUUUCAACUAUCCUGUUAUUUUUGUUUUCGGUUUUAAGCUGUUUUUAACCGACGCUGCAUAUUUUAUUCAACAACGCCCAAUUAAAUAGUUUUCUUACAAAAAGAGUUGCGGAAAAGCACACGGUAGGACAAACCUAUAUGACUUUUAUCUUUUUACUAUAUCACGCCCAUCCAUCCGUCCCGUUUUUCCGGUCUAUAUCUCUUUCAGACAUUGUUGGAUUUUACAACUAUAAGUCAGAAGUGACCACCCUAGCACGAGGAUGUGUAGCACACAAGACCCGUGUCCCUACAUUCAAAGUCAAGGUCACAGCAACUGUCCGGUCAAUAUCUUUUUCAUUCAUUGUUGGAUUUAAAAAAAUGCCAGAAGUGCAACAUAGCAUGUGAUGCGCACACGAUCCGAGUCCCUUACUUCAAGGUCAAAGCCACAAAAAGCUUCUGAACUUAGUAUGUUUUGCUAAAUAAGCCUUACUGAUAGUAGUUCGUGUCCGGUACAUAUCUUUCUCAUUCAUCGGUUGAUUUCAAAAUUAUUUAGCAGAAGUGAGCAACAAAGCAUGCGGAUGUGUCGUGCAUAAGACAUGUUUCCUUACAUUUGUGGUCAAGGUCAUUACAGAACCAUUAUUUUUUCCUCAUAUCUUCCUCAUGUCUCUAAAUUAUUGAAAAAUCUGUGGCACAUCAACUUGGACACGUUCGACUCGAUUUCUUUAAUUAUUAUAUCCAGGCAGUAUUUCCUGCACUUAGGUGCGCGGGGGUAUAAACCACAUUAUAAGAUAGCUCUUGUUUAUCAACCGGCACACAUUCACCUUUCGAUGUAUGUGAGCCCUUGCAAAAAGGCGUAACGUAAAUUGGAAGUGCGUAUUGGAAGUGCGUAUAUUACUGACUGCAGUAUUAUACCAGGACUCUUUGUCUACCUGGUACGCGUGUUGCUAAUAAGGGGUGUUUUUUUCUAGACAACAAAUGAAAAAAAACAUACGGAACCACCCCCUAAGGGCUGAGAAAAAUAUCGACCAGUCACUUAAUGACAUGGGGAAUGCAGCAAUCUAUGUUAGAAAAGUAACGUUCCUGGAAAGAUCCGUCAUACGUGUGACAGUUCAAACACCAAUAAUAAAAAAAAUGGAAAGAAAAAUAUAAAUUAAUAAAUAAAGGUAACAGCCUUCAAAUGAAUGUUAUUUUGUUUGUAAUCACAUUGGCAGGAAAAUUGUUUCACUAACAAAAAUGGCGUACUAUCUGCAUCGACGAAUCAUCAGAUAUUUUGUAGCUAUCUUAAAACAUAAAAUAAAUAUGUCUUUCCCUCAUUCAGUUGGAGAACUGAAAGAAAAAUCAUACAUAGGACUUGGUAUUUAUUUGGCAAAAGAAGUUAACACGUUUCCGUUGGGAGUAAACCUUUCUCAAAGUUGGUUAUGUUAUUUUCACGCACUGGCAUUUGUUUUAAUACGACGUAGAUAUUUGGAAUACGGAAGUUGGAAGUUGCAAAUGAACCAUUGAUGUGCAUCCAAAUAAUAACAUUCCACAAAAUAAUCCGUGAGGAGUAAAACAAAACGGGCACAAAUUACUCUUCAUCUUUUUUAAAGUGUUUUCUAGACGCGAAUCAUCACUUGAUCAAGUGGGUGAAAAGGUAAAUAACGAAGACAAAGCAAUAUAAAUGAAGACCAUCAUUGAAAGUGAACAGGAAAUUUUGUAACAAUGAUACAAAAUUAUGACAAAGGAACAGAAUAGAAGAGGAAUAUUAUGAUCACUGAUCUGAAUCACUUAUUGUAAAAGUCUUAGUAUUCAAAGCUAUCAUAAGCAUGUUACAAAAUGUAGUUUUCCAAAACUAAAGUUGUGUAAGUAGGCUCGAGAACAAGCAUCCUUAAUACAUUUUCCGAUUAUGUUGCAAGUUCUUGUUUUGACUUUGUUUUAGUUUGUGAUAGUAUACCAUCAGGCACUUUUAAAACAACAUUGAACAAAUCGGGUAACAAAUUAAACAUUUCGAACAUUUUAUAUUUUUCACUGUUUUGUAAUUUUACCCCGCUAUCACUUCCAAAUCAAACGUCAGCGCGCACAGGUCUGGGACACGAUUUCAACGAUGUCAUUUCUAAAAUGACGUAAUGCUUAGAUACAAUUUAAUGGGCGCACUUUUCUGAAAAAAAAAACCAGUUGGAUUUCAUUUUUAUUUCCUUGAAGGCAAAAAAUAUCUUUCUUUUAGUUUAAGAUCACAAUAUAUUUCACCUCGUGAACAACAAAAUUUAAUAUUUCACUUGUGGUUACGCCACUUUAGAAAUAAAGCUUUCGCUUCUCACUUGGCGAAAUAUAAAACGAUCUUGCACUGAAACAAUCAAUUGUCCUCUAUACUUCCAUUUUAAUGGAUAAUGAUAAUGCUCGAAUGUUUUUCGUAAAAUUUGAUAAUGUUUAGAUACUGUAUUUCAAAGCAUAACCUUAACUUAAUAUACCAACAAAUCCUUGGUAUAUAAUGACCUGACUGAGUGUCAUCGAUACAUUUUGUUUCGAUAAAUGUUCAACAAGCUGCUGAAAAGUAAUUUCACUAAGAGCUGAUACAUAUUAUUUGUCUUCUCUGGUAAAAACAUUAGGGUUGUUAUUUUUGUUGAAUCAAAAAUAGUAGUAUUUCAGUGGCAUCAGAAAUUCAUUUUAAGUACAAACAAAAGGGCUAUGAUGAACCCUAUAUCGCUCAACAAAUAUGAAACAAUUCAGUGGUUAUGAAGGAUGUUGCUGCUUGCCUAGAAAUUAAGUGUUUGCCGAGUAAUUGGAUGGUUGAUAAAGAGGCAGGUCAUUGUAAGGGGGAAUCAAAAGUAUUUCCAUGGAAGCCAAUUCAUUGUCAGCUGACAAUGGAUGUGAUGGCAAUUUAAGCCGAGUGUUGCUAUGGAAGUGAUUGGUUGCUUAGGAAGUGAUUGGUUGAUAUGGAUGCUGGUAGUUGCUAAGGAAAAGAGUGGCUGCUAAGAAUAUCAUUGGUUGCUAAGAAAGUCAUUGGUGGCUAAGGAAUGAAGUUGUUGCUAAGGAAGUAAUUAGUUGGUAUGAUAAUCGGUGGUUUCUAAGGUAGUUGCUUGCAAUGAAUGAAGGUAGUGGCAUUAAUCGUAGAUUGUUAAGGAAGUCAUUAGUUCCUAGGGAUGUCAUAGGUAGUUGGUAAGGAAGUCAUUAGUUGAAAUGAAACUCCCUUGUCGCUAAGGUAGUCAUAGAUUGCUAAGAAAGUUAUAGCUGGGAAGUACGAAGUACGAAGUAAAUGGUUUCUAAGCAAGUCAUUGGUUGCUUAGGAAGCGAUUCGCUGCUAUUAAUGAAGGUAGUUGGUAAGGAAAUCAUGGUUGCAAAGGAAGUCCUUGGUUGCUAAGAAAGUUGGGGUUAGUCAGGAAGAUACUGGUUGUCAAGGAAGUUAUUGGCUCCUAUGGAAGUAAGUGGAUGCUCGGGAAUUAUCUGGUUUCUUAGGUAGUCAUUGGCUUCUAAGGAAGUCAUUUUUUUCUAAGAAAUUCAAAGGUUGCUAUGAAUAUAGGUAGUUGUUAAGGUUGUCAUUUGCAACAAAGGAAAUCAUUGGUUAAUAAGAACGCCAAAAAUUGCUUUUGAGUCAUUGGUUGCUAUAGAUGUAUUAGCUGCUAAGGAUAUAAGUCGUGUUAAGGAAGUCAUUUUUGCUCAGGAAGUCAUUGGUUGCUACAGAAGUAAAUGGUCACUAAGUAAGUAAAUGGUUGCCAAGGAUGUCAUGUGGUUGAUAAGAAAGUCAUCUGUAGUCAAGGAGGGUCACUGGUAGCUAAUGAAGAAUGUGGUUGCUUAGUAUGUCAUUGGUUGCGAAGGAAAUCAUUAGUGGCUCAGUAUGUAAGUGGUUGAUAAGAAGGUAAUGGGUUGCUAAUCUAGUCAUUUGUUGCUAAGAAGGUCAUUGGUUGCUAUAUUUGUAGGUAGUUAUUACCACUACAUGAUAUCAAGGGUCUGGACCAUGCGGUUUAUAAAGAAGAUUUUGAAAGAUAUUUCUAUAUAAGUAUUAUAUAAGAACACCUGAGACAGCGGGGAGGGGCCAGCUUAUUUCCAAAGAGAAUUAUUUGAACAAUUUGGAAUUUUGAAAAAUUACUACCUGAGGCUACAUACGAACUAUCAAUGGUUCUGACCAUGCGGUUUCAGAAAAGAAGAAAUAUUAGUACAUAAGUAUAUGGAUAUCCAGGGACCCCAACGGGGCGGGGUCAGCUUUGACUUAAGGCACAUAAUUUUAACAAUCUUGAUAAACGGCCACUACAUUAGACUACAUUCCAAAUUUUAAAGGUCUAUGAUUUGCGGCUUCAGAGAAGAAGAUUUUCAAAGUUUUUACUUCAUAAAUAUAUAUAAUAAAAGGGCCCCCUUAGGAACAUUGCUGUGAAGUUAUUUUGUAAUCUGACCAGCAGUUUCUGAGGAGUUUCCAUAUAGUAAUUUAGUGAAAACCAGCCCCGCCCCUGUCGGCAAGGUUUUUAAAGAAUAAACAUUCCGUAAAGGAAUUUGAUAAAGGAUCACAUGAUUUUAAAAUCAACGGUUUUUGAGGAGAAGUUUUUCCUUUUGGUUGUCAUGGCAACCAGAGUUCUACAUGGAACCAUUUUUAUUUAAGGAAUCUGAGAGUAGACCAUCCAAGGAUCAUUCCAAUUGGCUAUUGUGGUUAAGGAGGAGAAUUUGUUUGAAUAAAAAAGAUGACGACGGACGACUUAAGGUCCCCUAGCGCAACAGCUCAUCCCUGAAUGAAAUAUUUCAUUCACUGAAUCGUACAUAUUCUUACUUAUCAUAAACGUCUGGGCUUCAAGGCAGAAAAAAAUGGAAAGAUAAAGAAAUUGACUGCAUCCCUCUGCUAUACAAACUAUUUUAAUGUGAUUAUAAAUGUUAGUCUUUAGAAUAUGGAAAGUGAGUUUGGUCACUUGGCGACUCUUGUGAAAAGGAAAUAUACAAGAUGGCGUCAAAGAUGGCCGCCCUAAAUUGUGAGUAAGAUUUUAUGGUUUAAACAGGGCUAAUUUUAUAAAAUAGUGUUAAUUUUCACAUGGAUUAAAUUGAUUUUAUAACAUACAUCAAAUUGAGAUAUAAAAUAAAGCACUUCAAGGUUAAGGUCAUUUUAAAAUUACUAAUUAUUCUUUAUCAGUUUAUUUGUCUUUAGUUUGUAUCAAAAAGUGGUGGCAGAAUAUGUAUAGCUUUUUAUAUUUUUGAAAACGCCAAGGUUUCAUACCAUUGCAGAAAUGUAAUUGAUAAUUUAACCAUAUUUCAUAUAUUUCCUCGAUUAGAAGUCAAGUGAACAGCAAAAUGACCCUGUAUUAGACCAGGUACACUUAACAAGCUACAUGCAUUAUAGCAAUCGGAACUCCUCGGCUAGUAUGAAGAUAUGGCCACGGAUAUAAUACGGGUCGUAAGAAAAUAGUCCAUCAUGGCCGACCAAGAAGAUGUUCAAACAACCAAGAGAUAAGUUAGACCAAAGACAGAAUGAGGAGCGUAACUGUUACCACUUAUUUGUGUAGAGCAGUAUGGUACCAAUGGUGCAGCCGACUCUGAAUUCCUGGCUUGUUCUAAUGAAAAAAGGCGGAUGAGGCACUGGAAUCCGAAUGUAAUCAAAAAUGCCAUUGUAUAAGGAUUGACCUGUAAUGCAUGGAAAUCAUCUAACACAACUGCAACGCCUACCUUGGGGAAAUGAGUGCAAGAUGGAAACAAAGCAUUCAGUGAAACUUCUUGUCAUCUCAAAUAUUUGAUGACUCAAUACUGAUGUGAAGUUGCAGAUAAAAGUAAUCUGUUGGCCCGUGAUUAUUAGAUACACCCGGACACAUAUUUUAAAAGGGUUAUAUGGUAAAGGAUUUAUCUACGCUUAAAGUGGUUUUCCUAUAUUAAGGAGGGAAAAUAACUACAAAAACAGAAACAGAAGGCAUUGGCAGACCAAAUAAAGGAGAACUAUUUUGUUCAGUUAAAUUUUUAAGACUUUAGAAAAGCCUUUAAUAGGGCACAUUCUUGCAAAUGCCAUAUUGAAAACUGGGCUCUUUAAAAUGUGAAAAGGUGGUCUAGAGGAUAAGCCUCAAAUCCAAGGUUGUGGGUUCAAGCCCCUCCAAGAUACUUUCUCAUGACCUCAGGAAAAGGAUGUCCGUACUUUGGCAACAGACUUAAGAGUGCUUCUGUAAGCUUCCAGCUUGCAUAGCAAUCUGAUUAGGCAUAAAAUAAGAUACUAGCUGAUUUGCAAAUAGUUUUUCCAUUUGUGUUGAUUUGUUUUUCAGUCUGUUGGAAUGUUUAUUAGAAGUGAUGAGCAUUGCUUACUGCAACCAAUAUUUAAUUUCUUUAUUAAGUUGAAUUUAACGAACACAUAACAUGACUUGUGAUUUUACAGAUGCAUGUUUAUUUUGUUGAUUGUAUGAGUUUAUUUUCUCAAAUGAUGUAAUAAAAGUUAU
This is a long non-coding RNA of Mya arenaria, 6759 nucleotides long. RefSeq lists it as uncharacterized. The transcript is spliced from 3 exons. NCBI's taxonomy places the organism in Eukaryota, Metazoa, Mollusca, Bivalvia, Myida, Myidae. The record is from RefSeq and is a predicted model, not a curated record.